Molecule: ribosomal RNA, 465 nt
Filed under: Vreelandella stevensii
Lineage: Bacteria; Pseudomonadati; Pseudomonadota; Gammaproteobacteria; Oceanospirillales; Halomonadaceae
Description: partial 16S ribosomal RNA
Rfam family: Bacterial small subunit ribosomal RNA
Source: RNAcentral
CCUACGGGAGGCUGCAGUGGGGAAUAUUGGACAAUGGGCGAAAGCCUGAUCCAGCCAUGCCGCGUGUGUGAAGAAGGCCUUCGGGUUGUAAAGCACUUUCAGUGGGGAAGAAAGCCUUGGGGCUAAUACCCUCGAGGAAGGACAUCACCCACAGCAGAAGCACCGGCUAACUCCGUGCCAGCAGCCGCGGUAAUACGGAGGGUGCGAGCGUUAAUCGGAAUUACUGGGCGUAAAGCGCGCGUAGGCGGUCUGAUAAGCCGGUUGUGAAAGCCCCGGGCCCAACCUGGGAACGGCAUCCGGAACUGUCAGGCUAGAGUGCAGGAGAGGAAGGUAGAAUUCCCGGUGUAGCGGUGAAAUGCGUAGAGAUCGGGAGGAAUACCAGUGGCGAAGGCGGCCUUCUGGACUGACACUGACGCUGAGGUGCGAAAGCGUGGGUAGCAAACAGGAUUAGAUACCCUUGUAGUC